Molecule: ribosomal RNA, 584 nt
Filed under: uncultured fungus
Lineage: Eukaryota; Fungi
Description: eukaryotic LSU rRNA
Rfam family: 5.8S ribosomal RNA (bases 155-306)
Source: RNAcentral
UCCGUAGGUGAACCUGCGGAAGGAUCAUUAACACUAAUCCAUAUCACCUUAACCUAGCCUUCAGUGCAGUAUCAGUGCUAGCUUCGCAGCAGGCCUCUUACUGUUCUAUAAACCUAAACUAAAGAAGCUUAACUAAGCUCAACCACUAAAACCAAAUUCUCAACGAUGGAUAUCUUGGUUCCCAUAACGAUGAAGAACGCAGCGAAGUGCGAUAAGCAAUGCGAAUUGCAGAACCGUGAGUCAUCAGAUCUUUGAACGCAACUGGCGCUGGAUGGCUAUCCAUCCAGCAUGCUUGUUUCAGUGUCUUAUUCUCUCAUAACCUAAAUCUUAAUGCUAGAGAUACCCUUCUCUUGCUAAGUACGAAAGCACUCUGAGCCCUGCAGGUGAUUUGGCUUCGGCCAAGGUCACACUCAAUGCAGCAGUCACAUUAACAAUGUGAACUCAUUGAGAGUAGAGUCAGCGCAGCUAGUCUGCAAGUGCUUAGACCCUUAAACUCUUCUAGGCAUCUGGAAAUCAAGGCAGGGGGAUCACCCGGCUGGAACUUAAGGCAUAUCAAUAAGGCGGGGAGGGGAAGGUCGGACUGG